UACAUGGGGUGCAAACGUUGCUCGGAAUUAUUGGGCGUAAAGCGCGCGUAGGCGGUUACUUAAGUCGGAUGUGAAAGCCCUCGGCUUAACUGAGGAAGUGCACCCGAAACUGAGUAGCUAGAGUACGAAAGAGGGUCGCGGAAUUCCCGGUGUAGAGGUGAAAUUCGUAGAUAUCAGGAGGAACACCGGUGGCGAAGGCGGCGACCUGGGUCGAGACUGACGCUGAGGCGCGAAAGCGUGGGGAGCAAACAGG
RNAcentral lists this ribosomal RNA (253 nucleotides) under uncultured bacterium. RNAcentral's name for it is "partial 16S ribosomal RNA". It matches the Rfam family "Bacterial small subunit ribosomal RNA", at positions 524 to 776 of the family's 1533-position model. The record is from RNAcentral.